GAUGAAGAACGCAGCGAAAUGCGAUAAGUAGUGUGAAUUGCAGAAUUCAGUGAAUCAUCGAAUCUUUGAACGCACAUUGCGCCCCUUGGUAUUCCAUGGGGCAUGCCUGUUCGAGCGUCAUCUACAACCCUCAAGCCCUGCUUGGUGUUGGGCGUCUGUCCCGCCCCUCGCGCGGACUCGCCCCAAAUCCAUUGGCGGCGGCCCUUGCCUCCCUCUCGCGCAGCACAUUGCGCUUCUCGAGGCGUCGCGGGCCGCGCUCCACGAAGCACGCAAACCAGUCUUUGACCUCGGAUCAGGUAGGGAUACCCGCUGAACUUAAGCAUAUCAAUAAGCGGAGGA
RNAcentral lists this unclassified non-coding RNA (339 nucleotides) under soil metagenome. RNAcentral's name for it is "partial contains 5.8S ribosomal RNA, internal transcribed spacer 2, and large subunit ribosomal RNA". The stretch from base 1 to 120 matches the Rfam family "5.8S ribosomal RNA", at positions 35 to 154 of the family's 154-position model. The record is from RNAcentral.